Molecule: unclassified non-coding RNA, 420 nt
Filed under: Hevea brasiliensis (rubber tree)
Lineage: Eukaryota; Viridiplantae; Streptophyta; Magnoliopsida; Malpighiales; Euphorbiaceae
Source: RNAcentral
GAAAAGAAAAGAAAAAAAAAAUUAAUCAAAAGUCCUUCUUCUUCUCAAAGGACGUCUCCCAUUUCUCUCUCCCUCUCCAUUGUUAAACCUCCAUGGAAGCUUAUUCUCAAGCUUCAUACACCACAAUUUAACCAUAAAUUCCCCUAAAGUCCUUAAGUAAAUCUUACCCCUAGACCUAGAUAAACACUUUGGGAGCAAGAAGGAAAAGAAAACUUGGAGAAUUGAAGAAUUAGGAAAUCUACAAAUUGAGGUAAGUGCAAUUUCAAGUUUAGAUUCUUAUUGAAUUCAUGAAUUUAAGUUUAUGUGUGAUGAAAUUGCAUUAGAAAUAAAGGAAAUCAUGCUUAAAUAAGGGAAGAGAGAAUGAGGCAGCCAUAGAACCUUAAGGUUUUGAUGGUAUUUAGUUAGGUUAAACAUGAAAUC